Long non-coding RNA from Oreochromis niloticus (Nile tilapia), 556 nucleotides. RefSeq lists it as uncharacterized. The transcript is spliced from 3 exons. The record is from RefSeq and is a predicted model, not a curated record. NCBI's taxonomy places the organism in Eukaryota, Metazoa, Chordata, Actinopteri, Cichliformes, Cichlidae.
AGCCAUACGAGAGUGUGCUGUGCGGAGUGGUGUGUGGCGAGCCUGUGCACUGAUAAAGAACACCAUUGUUUCCAUUCAGGAAAUAAAGUGGCAUCGAUCAGAGACUCCUUGUUUUCUUAAAACACAACACAACGCAGAGUCGAGGAGUCUGUUUGGGCCGAACUGUUGCAGCAGGAUGAAGCAGAAACCGGUUACAUCAGCAAGCAAAGAAAGACACAACUCAAACAUGUAUAUACAUGGGUGAUCUCAGUGGAGACUCACACUGAGACAUUCACUUCCCUCUUUAUUUAUACACUGCUCCUUCCUAAAAUAUGUCGGGUCGGUGCCCCUUGUGUGUAAAACAACUCCUUACAAGGUGAUAAGCAUGAAACAUAUUUAAACUGUUAAAAAUAGUAACCGGUCAAGCUUAUCUCAGCAAACUCAGCAAAGGUGGAGGCACCUGUGGUAUUUCCUCAUGCAAGCUUUGUCAUGAAACACAGUGAAAUAGGAGUUUUAAAUGAAGCUAAACAACUAGGGAUUUUUUAACUACAAUAAAGCAGAAUACAUAUAAAAAUCC